This 20-nucleotide microRNA is filed under the name Sus scrofa (pig). RNAcentral describes it as "ssc-miR-9809-3p". The record is from miRBase by way of RNAcentral. Lineage: Eukaryota; Metazoa; Chordata; Mammalia; Artiodactyla; Suidae.
CGACUUUUCAGGAUUGUUGU